RNAcentral lists this long non-coding RNA (1110 nucleotides) under Equus caballus (horse). Its description in RNAcentral is "lncRNA (ENSECAG00000054321.1)". The record is from RNAcentral. Lineage: Eukaryota; Metazoa; Chordata; Mammalia; Perissodactyla; Equidae.
UACCAGCUUGAGUCAGAACCAGGGUUUCCCUGAGAUUUGGGGGACUGUUGCUAAGUUGGGUUCACAUUCCAGGUCUGUCCCUCACAGCGUGGCCUUGUCAGGGGCCCUCCCUCCCUCCCGUAAGACACAUUUGGGGUGCCUCCCUUCUCCCUUUCCUCCUCCUCUGUCAGUGUGUCCCUGUGAGUGAACCCCAAUGAUACGCAGAAAUCCUGUAUUUCCUAAAGGCCCCUCAGCCCCCUGGGGAAAUCAGUUGAAGGAAAUGACAGCAGGCACGGGGUUUGCCUAGUGUCACCUGCAGCCACAUCCAGACCUCGCUCCAGGCCAGCGGAAAUGGUGCUCCACAGCUGAGCGGCAGCAUCACAGCCAACCAGCUGAUCAACUGUCCGCUUAGCCAUUGGACUGGCACCUCCUGUGUCAGUCCAUGCGGACUUGGCCUUGCGGACCCUUAGACACAUAGCUCGUGUGCCCGCUGGAGAUCCAGAAGGCACACCCAUGACGCAGUCAGCAAUCCCUUACACGGACUGAGUUUUCUGAGCUGGAAGUGGUGAUAGGGUAGUGGCAGCAAAGACACAGAGAGGGGUAUGUGACGUGGAAUAAAACAUAACCUAUCUUGAGGCCUCUGAUCCAAUUGCCGCGGGAGUAACGGCAGCAGCAGGCAAUUGCUGGAGGGCCACCCUGGAGCUGGAAUGGAUUUUCAGAGAUACCUCGAAUCAGGGCACAAGGGCUGAGUCUUUAUACGCCACGUGGACCAGUAUUACUAAUUGAUGUAGGAUGGCCCCACAAGGGAGGCAUCACCUGGUCAUAUUCCAGCCUUUAGAUUCUGAAAACAUGUUAAAGGAUGUGUUUGGCCAUUUGUAGUACAAAUGGGUUUGCAUACAGGCGCAAAGGGGCAAACCCAAAGCCCUCAGGGUCUGAUGCCCCAAGAAGGUUUCUUAUGAUUAUUGCCUUGAAGACGUUGUCUGUGGAUGACACUAGUACCCGCACUUCCUAGUAACAGGGCAUUUGUCUCAGCCAGAAGUGAGGGGACCAAGGGAAACACAGCAUGCCGGCAGGUAAGACGGAACCCCAGAGAGGAUGCCAGGGCUGGCGGUGGGGUGUGGAGGAGACCGC